UUUUCUUUUUUCCCCCCAUUAGGAAAGAUACUUACAUGUUUUAUUCAAAAUUCUUUUAAGCCACCACCAAAGAAGAGAAAGAAAUUAACAUAAUAACUCUCCGGGUGGUUCCCUGUUUACAAACAGCACCAUGACCUAGGGAGGACCCUCAUUAUGAACUGCAUUCUACAGGAAAAAAGACGCACGUCCCCUUCAAAUGAUGUGGCUUGCCCCAUGGAAAACAGAGUUGGUGUCUGAGUCAGGUUUGCUUCCCCAGAGCUCCAGGGCCAUUGCUAUUGUCCUCUUUCCUGCACGCUUCCUCAUUUGCAAAACAAUGUGAAUUCUGUUCUUGCCCUUAUAAUUAAAGGAAAAAUGAGGAUGAUCAAGAGUGGUUGCUUCAGGGACCUUCCACACUGCUAAGGCCACCUCUAUUUUUCCAGACUCCAGGUAUAUUUUAAAAUGAAGACAUGUCAAAAUAGGUUUCUGUUGUAGUUAAAAUGUUUACACCUAUUAGCAAUUAUAUUUGUAUGAGAGUUGAAGGCUCUUCCAACACUGUCAGUGUACUUCUGUGACAGUAUGUAUCUAAACUCAUUUGGAAAUAAACAAUAAUUGUCUAAUUUUGGCCCUUAAUUGAGGUCCUAGCUUAAUGCCCUCUUUUCUCAUAAAGGAAUGCCCUUACAUGAACAUUAGGACUUUAGAGGACAGCAGUGGUGGCAACAGUGGAGUUGACUGCAGCUGGGGCAAAGGUAGCAGGUUAAUACCAGCUAACACCUCCAGAGCAUUUGCCAUGUGCCAGGGACAAUGCUAAGUAUUUUAUGUGUGCUAACACUAUGCUUUCUUAGGCAGGUACUAUUAUUAUCUGCUUUUUUUAACAGAUGAAGAAACCGAGCCACACAGAGGUUAAAUAACUUGCCCAAGGGUGCACAACUACUAGUAGUAUUGAGUCUAUACGCUUAAGUAUUGUGCUAUUCCAUUUCUUACUGAAUACAAAGCAAAAAAACAUAAGGAUCAGAGGAGGAGUGUGAGUGUCCUCAUACUCACAGCAAAAGGAGGGAAUUCAGGAGAGGAUUGAAGAAGCGGUUCCUGUUUUUGAGGCAUUUGCAAUCAUUGCUGGAGAGACAGAACCAACAGAUGGGGAACAAUGGUCAGGGACUCCAGGCCUGAUUUAAGCCAAUGCCGCCCUGUGGUCUUUACCCACGAAUGGUGUGGAAAAUGAGAGCAGGGAAGAGGAUUUACUCACUGGCUGUGGAGUUAGGUCAGAAGGGGGAUGGAAAGAAGGAACCGGAUGGCUUUGGGGACAUUUCUUAAUCUUUAGGCUUCACCUUCCUUAACUGAAAAUAAAGCCAUAAGUUACCUCCAGAACUCUUUCAGCCUUAACAUUCAAUGAAUCUCGAUCUUUUCUGUAAAGCUAGAUUUUUAUGUGUGGUAUUUGCUAAAAGUUGGGGCGCACCCUUACUUGAUCUGGCCCAGACUAUAGAUCACAUGAAGAUCACAUUAAAUCAGGUCGAAAGACUUUUCUGACUUCAAAUUAGCGAAUAUGCAUAUGUGCUGAACUUUAGUCUUUUCCUUUUCUUGAACAUUCAGUUUAAUAAUUGUCUCUGCCAUUUUACACAUUUAUUUUUCUUGGCUAUUUAUAUUUUCCUUUUGGGGAGGUCAAAUAUAAAAAUAGGAUAUACAUGGACUGUAGCAGUUGAUAAUAACUUGUGUGCUUUGAUUUUUUAAAGAACCAAAAUUUACCAAAAGGGAUCUUGCUCACUUAUCAAUUUGUUUUUUUUAUAUCUCUGUUUUUGUACAUAUCUUUUAAGUUAUUCCAGACCCUGACAACUGGACACCUGGUUAUGAUUGCAGAAUGUGCAGUUUAAAAUCCUAUUUUAAAACUUAGUUUUUGUUUUUCUUUUUGAGACAGGGUCUC
RNAcentral lists this long non-coding RNA (1891 nucleotides) under Homo sapiens (human). Its description in RNAcentral is "HSALNT0342088". Lineage: Eukaryota; Metazoa; Chordata; Mammalia; Primates; Hominidae. The record is from RNAcentral.